UUUGGCCUCGNUAUCGGUGUCCGAUUUAGCCAUGCGAGUUGCACGUUUAACGUAGCAAACUGCUCAGUAACACGUGGCCAAACUGCCCUAUGGAUCGGGAUAACCUCGGGAAACUGAGGCUAAUCCCGAAUAGUGCAUCCAGCCUGGAACUGGCGGAUGUACGAAAUGCUCCGGCGCCAUAGGAUGUGGCUGCGGCCGAUUAGGUAGACGGUGGGGUAACGGCCCACCGUGCCGAUAAUCGGUACGGGUCAUGAGAGUGAGAGCCCGGAGACGGACUCUGAGACACGAGUCCGGGCCCUACGGGGCGCAGCAGGCGCGAAACCUUUACACUGCACGACAGUGCGAUAGGGGGACACCGAGUGCGAGGGCAUAGAGCCCUCGCUUUUGUAGACCGUAAGGAGGUCUACGAAUAAGGGCUGGGCAAGACCGGUGCCAGCCGNCGCGGUAACACCGGCAGCCCAAGUGAUGGCCGAUAUUAUUGGGCCUAAAGCGUCCGUAGCUGGCCGCGCAAGUUCGUCGGGAAAUCCACUCGCUUAACGAGUGGGCGUNCGGCGAAAACUGCGCGGCUUGGGACCGGAAGAUCCAAGGGGUACGUUCCGGGGUAGGAGUGAAAUCCCGUAAUNCUUGG
This 628-nucleotide ribosomal RNA is filed under the name uncultured euryarchaeote. RNAcentral describes it as "bacterial SSU rRNA". It matches the Rfam family "Archaeal small subunit ribosomal RNA", at positions 19 to 652 of the family's 1478-position model. Lineage: Archaea; Methanobacteriati; Methanobacteriota. The record is from RNAcentral.